Molecule: small RNA, 580 nt
Filed under: Pan troglodytes (chimpanzee)
Lineage: Eukaryota; Metazoa; Chordata; Mammalia; Primates; Hominidae
Description: retained intron
Source: RNAcentral
GGACAAUUUAAAUUGAGCCUGCAGUAAGUCUUGGUUGAAAGUAUUACAGAUUCAAGAGCCUAGCCUUAAAGUAGUUGGUAAAUUGUUAGUGGCUGAUACCCUUCCUCCCCACUCCACCCCAAGUACAGUUCAGAGGCCUGGCACUUCAAAAGAAAAAAGUUUACAUCUCUCUCUUUUUCCCCUUAUGUGCAUUACCUGAGAGGCUGGGAACCUUGAAUUUGCUUAACAACUGGGUAAAUCUACUUUUGGCAAAUGUUCCAGCCAACUCUUCAGAACCCUGGCACUUUUCUCUGUAUGACUCUCUUGAAAAGACUUUCUAAAACUCAUGUUUCUGUGAGUUAUUUUGUUGUUGUUGUUUGUAAUGACUGAUUUAAUUUCUCUUUAGGUAUUGGUGUUCCUAUUAUGUUAGCUUAUGUCUAUGGCGUAGUUCCAAUUUCUCUUUGUCGAAGCGGAGGUUGUGGAGUCUCAGCAGGCAAUGGAAAAGGAGUUAGGAUUGAAUUUGAUGAUGAAAAUGAUAUAAAUGUUGGUGGAACUAACACAGCUGUAGACACAACAUCAGUAGCAGAAGCAAGACACAACC